Molecule: ribosomal RNA, 484 nt
Filed under: uncultured bacterium
Lineage: Bacteria
Description: partial 16S ribosomal RNA
Rfam family: Bacterial small subunit ribosomal RNA
Source: RNAcentral
AUUGAACGCUGGCGGCAUGCUUUACACAUGCAAGUCGAACGGCAGCGCGGGCUUCGGCCUGGCGGCGAGUGGCGAGCGGGUGAGUAAUACAUCGGAACGUGCCCAGUAGUGGGGGAUAGCUCGGCGAAAGCCGGAUUAAUACCGCAUACGACCUGAGGGUGAAAGCGGGGGAUCUUCGGACCUCGCGCUAUUGGAGCGGCCGAUGGCAGAUUAGCUAGUUGGUGGGGUAAAGGCCUACCAAGGCGACGAUCUGUAGCUGGUCUGAGAGGACGACCAGCCACACUGGGACUGAGACACGGCCCAGACUCCUACGGGAGGCAGCAGUGGGGAAUUUUGGACAAUGGGCGAAAGCCUGAUCCAGCAAUGCCGCGUGUGUGAUGAAGGCCUUCGGGUUGUAAAGCACUUUUGGCGGGAACGAAAAGGACUGUGCAAAUACCACGGUUCGAUGACGGUACCCGCAGAAUAAGCACCGGCUAACUACGUG